UACGGAGGGAGCUAGCGUUGUUCGGAAUUACUGGGCGUAAAGCGCACGUAGGCGGCUACUCAAGUCGGGGGUGAAAGCCCGGGGCUCAACCCCGGAACUGCCCUCGAAACUAGGUGGCUAGAAUCUUGGAGAGGUCAGUGGAAUUCCGAGUGUAGAGGUGAAAUUCGUAGAUAUUCGGAAGAACACCAGUGGCGAAGGCGACUGACUGGACAAGUAUUGACGCUGAGGUGCGAAAGCGUGGGGAGCAAACAGG
RNAcentral lists this ribosomal RNA (253 nucleotides) under uncultured bacterium. Its description in RNAcentral is "partial 16S ribosomal RNA". It matches the Rfam family "Bacterial small subunit ribosomal RNA", at positions 524 to 776 of the family's 1533-position model. The record is from RNAcentral.